AUGGAGGAAGCUUCGGUGCCCCUGCGCACGUCGGUGGCCGGCGGAUUGACUUGGGCGGCGGCGGCUUGCCUUGCGGAUGAGGUGCGGGAAGGAGAGGAUGCACUUCGCGCUCCAGAGCGGGUCGUUGAGGUCGGCGCCGUGGGCUUCGAGCUCUGUGGCCAGCCCGCCGUCCAGCACCAGCCUCCCGCCGCCGGCCUCCACCCACCGCUGCACCGCCGCGCCCGCGGCCCCCUCCUUCGCGUCGUUGCCGCCUCCGCUCUUCACCACCAUCCUCCUCCUGCCGCUGCCGCUGCUACAGGACUGGAUGUGCUCGCCGUGCUGGGCCUCGAAGGAAGGACUGGAUUGCUUUUUUGGAAGAAAACUAGGGACCCGAUUGCUUUUUUAGCCCGCUUAUGUGUGGGCCAACUCUGUCAGAAACGCGUUUAA
RNAcentral lists this ribosomal RNA (426 nucleotides) under Triticum aestivum (bread wheat). RNAcentral describes it as "partial small subunit ribosomal RNA". The record is from RNAcentral. Lineage: Eukaryota; Viridiplantae; Streptophyta; Magnoliopsida; Poales; Poaceae.